GGGUGAGUAAUGCCUAGGAAUCUGCCUGGUAGUGGGGGACAACGUUUCGAAAGGAACGCUAAUACCGCAUACGUCCUACGGGAGAAAGCAGGGGACCUUCGGGCCUUGCGCUAUCAGAUGAGCCUAGGUCGGAUUAGCUAGUUGGUGGGGUAAUGGCUCACCAAGGCGACGAUCCGUAACUGGUCUGAGAGGAUGAUCAGUCACACUGGAACUGAGACACGGUCCAGACUCCUACGGGAGGCAGCAGUGGGGAAUAUUGGACAAUGGGCGAAAGCCUGAUCCAGCCAUGCCGCGUGUGUGAAGAAGGUCUUCGGAUUGUAAAGCACUUUAAGUUGGGAGGAAGGGCAGUAAGUUAAUACCUUGCUGUUUUGACGUUACCGACAGAAUAAGCACCGGCUAACUCUGUGCCAGCAGCCGCGGUAAUACAGAGGGUGCAAGCGUUAAUCGGAAUUACUGGGCGUAAAGCGCGCGUAGGUGGUUCGUUAAGUUGGAUGUGAAAGCCCCGGGCUCAACCUGGGAACUGCAUCCAAAACUGGCGAGCUAGAGUACGGUAGAGGGUGG
This 561-nucleotide ribosomal RNA is filed under the name Pseudomonas savastanoi. RNAcentral describes it as "bacterial SSU rRNA". It matches the Rfam family "Bacterial small subunit ribosomal RNA", at positions 104 to 661 of the family's 1533-position model. The record is from RNAcentral. Lineage: Bacteria; Pseudomonadati; Pseudomonadota; Gammaproteobacteria; Pseudomonadales; Pseudomonadaceae.